Solanum lycopersicum (tomato) is the source of this 944-nucleotide long non-coding RNA. RefSeq lists it as uncharacterized. NCBI's taxonomy places the organism in Eukaryota, Viridiplantae, Streptophyta, Magnoliopsida, Solanales, Solanaceae. The record is from RefSeq and is a predicted model, not a curated record.
CAAUCAUAUCAAAAAUACAAAAUACCUAAUUUGGUCUGGACUCUAUUCAUCCUUGAUGAGUACACAAUACUCUUUCCUCCACCUUCUCCACUUCAUUGUCGAAGAAAAUUCCAGUUGUUUGCCUCCUCCUUUGAAUCAUUUUUGAUCUCGAGUGGUCUUCACUAUUACUUGGUUCAAGGUGAAAACAUUGAAUAUUGAAAAUGAGGUAGAUUCUAAUAUGAAGAAUACUAUCAUAUAUACGUUUCUCACGCUUGGUACUUUUCAAAAGGGACGAGGAUGAGGGCCUAAAUCUUUCAAUGAGAAAGGAAAUUUACUAUCUAAAAGUAUAUUGUCUCAAUCAAGUGAUCUAGUUUAGAAGUACAUCAAAGAAAUUGAAACAAGCUCAACUCAAAGAAAUGGUUAAAGAAGAUCCAUCUCCGUCUACGGUAGAGAUUUUUGAAAAUUUUGUGGACCUGAAACUCGUAGCCAUGUAUUUGGAUUUGGGGGUGGAGUAAAGGCAAAAGAUUUGAAAGGUGGAACUUCAUCAAAGUCUGAAUUGUUGUAUGUACUACGUUCAACUCGAGAGAAUAUCAAAUCCUUGAACGAAGAAAACAACUCCUUAAAUGAUCUCUUUUCUACCAUAGAAGAUGAGAUGAACAAAAUAAUGAAAAUGAAAGAACUCUUCACCGCUCAACAAUCAUAUGUCUCACCUACAACAUCGCCCUCUUCAAAUGAAUAACCGCUGCCUUUUCAACUGACCAAGUUUUUGUCGUUGAAGUGCUUCUAAAGACGACUAUUUGAGGGCGCGAUGCCACUUUCUAGCUAAUGGAGUUGUUUUGAGUUUAAGAAUUCUAUGUUUCUUUCUUUUCCAUUUAGUGUGAAACAUUGUAUAGACCAUGUGAGGCAUUAUUAAUUUGAUGUAUGGGCAACUCCCAUGUUUUUACACUCUUAUUAGAUUAUUAUAA